Long non-coding RNA from Salmo salar (Atlantic salmon), 1520 nucleotides. RefSeq lists it as uncharacterized. NCBI's taxonomy places the organism in Eukaryota, Metazoa, Chordata, Actinopteri, Salmoniformes, Salmonidae. The record is from RefSeq and is a predicted model, not a curated record.
CUGAGGACGCGGCUAGGGAUGCCGUCUGGGCCGGCAGCCUUGCGAGGGUUAACACACUUAAACGUCUUACUCACGUCGGCCACGGAGCAGGAGAGCCCACAGUCCUUAGUAGCGGGCUGCGUCGGUGGCACUGUGCUAUCCUCAAAGCGGGCGAAGAAGGUGUUUAGCUUGUCUGGAAGCAAGACAUCGGUGUCUGCGACGUGGCUGGUUUUCCUUUUGUAGCCCGUGAUUCUCUGUAGACAGUGCCACAUACGUCUCGUGUCUGAGCCGUUGAAUUGCGACUCCACUUUGUCUCCAUACUGACGUUUUGCCUGUUUGAUUGCCUUGCGGAGGGAAUAACUAAAAUGUUUGUAUUCUGCCAUAUUUUGAGUCACCUUGCUAUGGUUAAAUGUGGUGGUUCGCGCUUUCAGUUUUGAGCGAAUGCUGACAUCUAUCCACGGUUUAUGGUUAAGUGUGGUCUACGGUGUUGCCAGGGAACAAACAGCACCCUUUUCGAAGAAGUAGGAGGUGAAGAUCUCCCACACAAAGAUUGCCUCCCGUGCUGCGUUGUUGGCCCCCACCCUGGAAACAUCAUGCAGAGCAGCAGACCUCUCCUCUGGCACACGGCGGCAAGCCGCAGAUCCCCUCCUGGUCCUCGUGUCCAUCCUCAUGAAGUUAUGCAGGACACAGGUAGCUUUCACACGCCUGAAUCCCACAGGAGGCAGUCCCAGAUCGGCCUUGGAACCCAACCUUGCAGUGCCCUACACAGUAACUGUAGGCAAUCAUUUUGAAGGAAUCUCCAGUUGCAAGGUAUCUGUAGGAAUAUGGAAGAUAAUGUAAUUAUUAGACUUUUACAUCACCAGGUCAUUGUGGACUACUAAAGUAUAUGAUAACAUUGAAUAGAUAGAUGCAUGUGCACACACAUGUGCAUGUGUAGCAAGUGACAACAACAGGAUCAUAUCAAGGAUAGCACUACAAAUUAAUACGUAAAUACCACUUGAAGCUUGAUGAGUUGAUCAUUUGAAUUAACUGUGUAGUGCUGAGGCAAAAAACUAAAAUAUGCACCACUUUGACUCCCGAGGACCAGCACGAAGAACCGCUGCUUUUAAUUGAGACCUCUUCAUCUGCAGACAGGCUUUCACAUCUCUCUGUAUCUGAGGACAGAAAACAUCACAAUGUUAGGGUUGAACUGGCUAUUUGUAUGCAUAACCUUUAUAAUAUACCGGGGAAGCUAUGCUACAAUAUUAAGUACAUAAGCUACGGAUAAAUCAACUGCUGAAGACAGGAAGUGCGUCACUAGGCUGGGACCAGCCUGCAUGCCGACGUUAGGAGGAGCAAGUUUAAACCACGCUCCUCCUCCCUCUGACAGGCCAGCAUUGAGCGGGAACUAUCUCUGUCAGAGUAUAAAAGCGAGAACAAUAAGAUGUGUCGCUCUCUUCUCUGUUUGCCCUGCGAGGUAUAACAGCGAGACCGUAUAUAUAUAUACACGAACCACCCAUUUACCACACACGUGUUUGCAUUAAAGUACAAAUAAAUCAGAA